Molecule: ribosomal RNA, 451 nt
Filed under: Capnocytophaga canimorsus
Lineage: Bacteria; Pseudomonadati; Bacteroidota; Flavobacteriia; Flavobacteriales; Flavobacteriaceae
Description: bacterial SSU rRNA
Rfam family: Bacterial small subunit ribosomal RNA
Source: RNAcentral
UCGAGGGGUAGAGUGCUUCGGCACUUGAGACCGGCGYACGGGUGCGUAACGCGUGUACAAUCUACCUUUUGCUAAGGGAUAGCCCGAAGAAAUUUGGAUUAAUACCUUAUAGUAUUAUUUAGUGGCAUCAUUAAAUAAUUAAAGCUACGGUGGCAAAAGAUGAGUACGCGUCCCAUUAGCUAGUUGGAGUGGUAACGGCACACCAAGGCUACGAUGGGUAGGGGUUCUGAGAGGGAUGUCCCCCACACUGGUACUGAGACACGGACCAGACUCCUACGGGAGGCAGCAGUGAGGAAUAUUGGACAAUGGUCGGAAGACUGAUCCAGCCAUGCCGCGUGCAGGAUGACGGCCUUAUGGGUUGUAAACUGCUUUUGUAYGGGAAGAAUAAGGUCUACGUGUAGAUUGAUGACGGUACCGUACGAAUAAGCAUCGGCUAACUCCGUGCCAGCAG